Molecule: ribosomal RNA, 497 nt
Filed under: uncultured bacterium
Lineage: Bacteria
Description: partial 16S ribosomal RNA
Rfam family: Bacterial small subunit ribosomal RNA
Source: RNAcentral
GAUGAACGCUGGCGGCGUGCCUAAUACAUGCAAGUCGAGCGAACGGACGAGAAGCUUGCUUCUCUGAUGUUAGCGGCGGACGGGUGAGUAACACGUGGAUAACCUACCUAUAAGACUGGGAUAACUUCGGGAAACCGGAGCUAAUACCGGAUAAUAUUUUGAACCGCAUGGUUCAAAAGUGAAAGACGGUCUUGCUGUCACUUAUAGAUGGAUCCGCGCUGCAUUAGCUAGUUGGUAAGGUAACGGCUUACCAAGGCAACGAUGCAUAGCCGACCUGAGAGGGUGAUCGGCCACACUGGAACUGAGACACGGUCCAGACUCCUACGGGAGGCAGCAGUAGGGAAUCUUCCGCCAUGGGCGAAAGCCUGACGGUGCAACGCCGCGUGAGUGAUGAAGGUCUUCGGAUCGUAAAACUCUGUUAUUAGGGAAGAACAUAUGUGUAAGUAACUGUGCACAUCUUGACGGUACCUAAUCAGAAAGCCACGGCUAACUACGUG